GGGAUCUUCGGACCUUUCGGUUAAAGGGGAGUCUAUGUGAUAUCAGCUAGUUGGUAGGGUAAAGGCCUACCAAGGCUAUGACGUCUAGGCGGAUUGAGAGAUUGACCGCCAACACUGGGACUGAGACACUGCCCAGACUCCUACGGGAGGCUGCAGUCGAGAAUCUUUCGCAAUGGACGGAAGUCUGACGAAGCGACGCCGCGUGUGUGAUGAAGGCUCUAGGGUUGUAAAGCACUUUCGCUUGGGAAUAAGAGAAGGCGGUUAAUACCCGCCGGAUUUGAGCGUACCAGGUAAAGAAGCACCGGCUAACUCCGUGCCAGCAGCUGCGGUAAUACGGAGGGUGCUAGCGUUAAUCGGAUUUAUUGGGCGUAAAGGGCGUGUAGGCGGAAGAGUAAGUCAGUUGUCAAAUCUCGGGGCUCAACCCCGAAUCGGCAUCUGAUACUAUUUUUCUAGAGGGUAGAUGGAGAAAAGGGAAUUUCACGUGUAGCGGUGAAAUGCGUAGAUAUGUGGAAGAACACCAGUGGCGAAGGCGCUUUUCUAAUUUACACCUGACGCUAAGGCGCGAAAGCAAGGGGAGCAAACAGGAUUAGAUACCCUGGUAGUCCUUGCCGUAAACGAUGCAUACUUGAUGUGGAUGGUCUCAACCCCAUCCGUGUCGGAGCUAACGCGUUAAGUAUGCCGCCUGAGGAGUACACUC
RNAcentral lists this ribosomal RNA (697 nucleotides) under Chlamydia suis. RNAcentral describes it as "bacterial SSU rRNA". It matches the Rfam family "Bacterial small subunit ribosomal RNA", at positions 202 to 887 of the family's 1533-position model. Lineage: Bacteria; Pseudomonadati; Chlamydiota; Chlamydiia; Chlamydiales; Chlamydiaceae. The record is from RNAcentral.